GGUAAACAGACAGGGAUACAAGGAGACAGACAGACAGACAGACUGAUAACCAGACAGGCAGACAGGUAAACAGACAGGGAUACAAGGAGACAGACAGACAGGUAACCAGACAGACUGAUAACCAGACAGGCAGACAGGUAAACAGACAGGGAUACAAGGAGACAGGCAGACAGGUAAACAGACAGGCAGACAGGUAAACAGACAGGGAUACAAGGAGACAGACAGACAGGUAACCAGACAGACUGAUAACCAGACAGGCAGACAGGUAAACAGACAGGGAUACAAGGAGACAGGCAGACAGGUAAACAGACAGGCAGACAGGUAAACAGACAGGGAUACAAGGAGACAGACAGACAGGUAACCAGACAGACUGAUAACCAGACAGGCAGACAGGUAAACAGACAGGGAUACAAGGAGACAGGCAGACAGGUAAACAGACAGGCAGACAGG
Oncorhynchus keta (chum salmon) is the source of this 450-nucleotide long non-coding RNA. RefSeq lists it as uncharacterized. The transcript is spliced from 3 exons. Lineage: Eukaryota; Metazoa; Chordata; Actinopteri; Salmoniformes; Salmonidae. The record is from RefSeq and is a predicted model, not a curated record.